GCCGGGGUGGCCGAGUGGACCAAGGCGCCGGCCUGGAGAGCCGGUACCCCCCUGGGGUGCCCGGGUUCGAAUCCCGGCCCCGGCGCCA
Molecule: transfer RNA, 88 nt
Filed under: Thermoprotei archaeon
Lineage: Archaea; Thermoproteati; Thermoproteota; Thermoprotei
Description: tRNA-Ser
Rfam family: tRNA
About the family: Transfer RNA (tRNA) molecules are approximately 80 nucleotides in length. Their secondary structure includes four short double-helical elements and three loops (D, anti-codon, and T loops).
Source: RNAcentral